Molecule: ribosomal RNA, 439 nt
Filed under: uncultured bacterium
Lineage: Bacteria
Description: partial 16S ribosomal RNA
Rfam family: Bacterial small subunit ribosomal RNA
Source: RNAcentral
CUACGGGGGGCUCCAGUGAGGAAUAUUGCACAAUGGGGGGAACCCUGAUGCAGCAACGCCGCGUGGAGGAUGACGCAUUUCGGUGUGUAAACUCCUUUUAUAUGUCAAGAAAAUGACGGUAGCAUAUGAAUAAGCACCGGCUAACUCCGUGCCAGCAGCCGCGGUAAUACGGAGGGUGCAAGCGUUACUCGGAAUCACUGGGCGUAAAGGACGCGUAGGCGGGUUGGAAAGUCAGGUGUGAAAUCCUACAGCUUAACUGUAGAACUGCACUUGAAACUUCUAAUCUAGAGUAUGGGAGGGGGAGAUGGAAUUAGUGGUGUAGGGGUAGGAUCCGUAGAUAUCACUAGGAAUACCUAAAGCGAAGGCGAUCUCCUGGAACAUUACUGACGCUAAGGCGUGCAAGCGUGGGGAGCAAACAGGAUUAGAUACCCUCGUAGUC